RNAcentral lists this ribosomal RNA (433 nucleotides) under uncultured bacterium. RNAcentral's name for it is "partial 16S ribosomal RNA". It matches the Rfam family "Bacterial small subunit ribosomal RNA", at positions 29 to 507 of the family's 1533-position model. The record is from RNAcentral.
AACGAACGCUGGCGGCAUGCCUAACACAUGCAAGUCGAACGAGACCUUCGGGUCUAGUGGCGCACGGGUGCGUAACGCGUGGGAACCUGCCCUUAGGUUCGGAAUAACUCCCCGAAAGGGGUGCCAAUACCGGAUAAUGUCUUCGGACCAAAGAUUUAUCGCCUUUGGAUGGGCCCGCGUUGGAUUAGCUAGUUGGUAGGGUAAAAGCCUACCAAGGCGACGAUCCAUAGCUGGUCUGAGAGGAUGAUCAGCCACACUGGGACUGAGACACGGCCCAGACUCCUACGGGAGGCAGCAGUGGGGAAUAUUGGACAAUGGGCGAAAGCCUGAUCCAGCAAUGCCGCGUGAGUGAUGAAGGCCUUAGGGUUGUAAAGCUCUUUUACCCGGGAUGAUAAUGGCAGUACCGGGAGAAUAAGCUCCGGCUAACUCCGUG